UUUUUUUUUAUUUUCCCACUGUACAGCAAGGGGGUCAGGUUAUCCUUACAUGUAUACAUUACAAUUACAUUUUUCCCCCACCCUUUCUUCUGUUGCAACAUGAGUAUCUAGACAAAGUUCUCAAUGCUAUUCAGCAGGAUCUCCUUGUAAAUCUAUUCUUUUUUUUUUUUUUUUAAAUCUAUUCUAAGUUGUGUCUGAUAAGCCCAAGCUCCCGAUCCCUCCCACUCCCUCCCCCUCCCAUCAGGCAGCCAGCCACAAGUCUCUUCUCCAAGUCCAUGAUUUUCUUUUCUGAGGAGAUGUUCAUUUGUGCUAGAUAUUAGAUUCCAGUUAUAAGUGAUAUCAAAUGGUAUUUGUCUUUGUCUAGAAAGAUGAUUUUUAAGGACCUGAAUGGAUACAACUCUAUUGUGCCUCCAGUUCCUGGAACUUUGUGUUUUAGCUUGGUCUCUGUGGCUCUUGAAAUUUUUGCUGGUAAGGCCAACCCCACUUCACUCUUGAGGAGGAAAUUUGUACAUUUCCAAGGUUCAAAUGCUUUGUGAAUCAAGGAAGAUAAUGUUAUUAACUGACAUGUGUAAAAGAGGAGAAGCAGCCACUGAAGUAAAGAAGAUGUUAAGUUUGUUUGGGAGCCUGGUGAGUUGGAGACACUUGCAGGACAUUCAUGCUGAGCUUCCUGUGAGCACUGAGAAUGUCACAGGGCAAACGGAAAACUAGGACCUGUGUUCAAAUGAUCAACUAAGUUCAGUUCAGUAGAUCUGGAUUCAUUUGAUUAGAGGAUAAAGUUAAAGCUAUAACCUUGAGCAAAUUCAUCAGGGAAUAAGGUGAAGCAUUUAAAAAGAAGAAGGUUGUUUCAGUCAGGGUAGAGCCAGAUUAUGCUGCAGAACAAACAAUUCCCCAAAUCUCAGUGACUUAAUAUCUCAAGGUUUAUUUCUCAUCCAUGCUUUAUGUCAAAAGUUGACCAGGAAUUCUGUGCAAUGUUAUCUUGGUCUGGGAUUUGGACUGAUGAACCACCCCCCACCUGGAACAUUGCUGGUCUCUGUAGCAGGAGGAAAGAACAGUCUCAUACCAGCAAUGAAAUGCUAGCCCAGAAGUGACAGAUACUGCUCCUGCUCAUAAUUCAAAGGCCAGAACUCAUCACGAAGCCCUACCCAACCACAGAGUAGGCAGGACUUGUCAUCCAACCAUGUGUCUGCAAGAGAGAAGUGCUGACAUCAGGAGCUACAUAAAUGAGUACCCUGAGGCUGAAGACAGGCUUUGUAAAAACAUGUUAACUCCAGAGAGGCAAGUACUAAGAGUUGGCAUGGAAAGAAGACAGAGAGAACAGUAAGGCAAAGGAGAAGGACCAAGAAAGCAAGAGUCACAGAUGAUGGGGAGGAAGGAGAGAGAGUGAAGAAAGGAGCAAUACAUCAGUGUAGAAGUUUCUAACAGAAGAGUAUAGCAGGAAGAGGGGUUUAACAAGUUCAGCUGGGUCUCUCACCAGAGGCACUUCAAGAUGGCACUCACUUCCUUGAUGAAUUUCUGAGUCACAAUUUCUGUCCCUCGGCCUAACCCUAAUCCCACAUCUAACCUUAUUUACAAGGAUGCACACAUAAGGCUGCCUUAGCCUGUGGCCACCAAGCACUCGAAAUGUCUAAUCUCAAACUCCUUGUUCUGAUUUCAUUCUUACUAUGCAAACUUCUCCUUAUGAUUUGCCUUUCCUUGAAGAUCUAUAUUCAGUAAGAGAGUGUGUUAGUUAUAUUCAAGCAUUUUGGACCACAUGACAAUUCCACUGCUCAUUUGGAUUAAUUCAUUAAGUAAUUUUAAGCAAUUUCUUUUACGGAAAUGGAUUCAAAUCUCACUUUAAUUCAAACAGUCCUUUUAUUUAUUUAUUUAUUUAUUUAUUUAUUUAUUUAUUUAUUUAUUUUUUGUCUUUUUUUAGGGCCGCACCCAUGGCAUAUGGAGCGGCCCUAGAAAAGGCAAAAAGACAAAAAAAAAAAAACCUCAUGUUGAAGAGAGACAGAUGAAGGAGUAAAAAAAAUUCAAUAAAGGGAAAAGCUGGCUAAUAAGGGAUUAGGAAGGAAAGGAAAGAGGGAAGAGAGACUCAGAGAUUGCAAUUUCAGAAACCUACAGAGUUUGAUGACCUGUUAACUUUUGCUGAAUUUAAAAAAGGACUGCACCUGUUUACAGACUAUGAAGUUGGCAAUGUGGCAAUUUUAAGUUAAGGUUGUUGAUGCUGGGGUGAAAAUAUCAAAACUGAAUACAUACCCGAAGCCAAAUAUAUACUAGAUUUGUCUAUUUCUAGAAAUAAGCAACUUGGGAAUUGUUAAAUAAAUUACAACAGGACCAGAUUAUAUAUUAUUAUAUUAUGUAGAAUAUGCGUUAUAAUACAAAAAAUUAUAACAGGCUGUAAUAUGAAGGAAUAUAGUUUUGUCACCAAAACACGAUUGUUCAGGUUUUAAAUAGCACAGGGAAAAAGAUGGCCUCAACAGAAUGUUCAGUGGGAAAACAGCAGGGUUCCUAAAUGUGUGUGCAUUAUUAUACCCAGUUUGAAAAACAGAAAAGGCUGGAAGAACUCAAGAAUGAGUAUGGAAGUAGUGUGUGAUUAUGGCUGAUUUUUAUUUUAUUCUUUAUACUUUCCUAUAAUUUUCAAAUUUUCUAUAAUGAACUUAGAAUUCCUUUAGAUAAUGUAAAUGACUUGUAUAGAGAAGCAUGCUUCCAUUAGCAACUCAGUUUUUCAUUAUUUUUGUUAGUUAUAUUGGAAUUUAAAACUCAUUAGAUACAUUAAAUGUAACAUAUUUAAAUGCUCAGGGUAUAUGUGCUCCCGACUGCUUUUAAAAUGAAAUUGUAAUUAGAAGGGAUAAGAGAAUUGAGACUAGAAAAGCUCUCUAAGGGUAGUGGCAAAGGCGUGAAAUGCCCUAUUUCAAAUAUUGUAAAAUAUUUACCAUACUAAUGGUAAUCUUGUGGACAUAUUUCGUAGAAGGCAAUGCAUAUAAAUUAAGUCUUGACUUUAGAUUGUCUCCUAAAUUUUAGUACCAACAGAAAAUUUCCAAAUUUCAAACUGAGCUAAAAGUUUAUUUUUACAAUAUAUGAAAACAAGAUGAUAAGCAAACCAAUACUGAAAAUAAGAUUAUGGGGGGAAAAUUCUACCUGCCUAAGAGAAUAACCUGUAGUCAAACAGUGGAACCAUCCCUUACAUACUUACAAUAUCAUGUGUGAAUUAAAAAUUAAUACUCUUGAGUGUGGUUCUAAGCUUCACUUGGUGAUGAAGAAAUGUUGAAGAGUUUCCUUUCUUCUGAUGAAUUCGAAUCUUUCUGCAAAGACCAAGGCAAGAUCAUCUAAGAGUAAGGGGCCAGCAUGAAGUUCAGGGAUCAAGGAAGGUAGAAAGUCCUAAAGUAACUUUGUAGAGAAGAGGAGAACACACCCACCAGAAAAAAAAAAAAUGUAUAGCCAGGGCUUGAAGGCUAAGACCUAGCUGUGGAUUAAGAUUAUUUCAGAGAUAGAGUUGAAUAAUCUCAUUGAGUAAGAUGGGUUCCUAGGGUGCAAAGAGAAAAUGACUUUAUUCUUCACGUGCAAUGCCCAUUUGAAUACCCUCUUUGGGUUCAGCAUUUCCCUACCCUUUGAGUGAAAUACUAGAAAAGUCUUCUAGCUCUCUGAUCAUCUCAAAUAGCAAAAUGUCCUCUGGUCCUUUCAUCCCCAACUCACAGCCUUAGUUUAUAAAUAUGCCCAGAACUACUGUAAGAAAACUUCACGGCAAGCUUAGAUAUGCUAUCAAACGAAGGGCCUGCUGUGGGAAAGGAGGUUUUGUCUCUAUUUUCCCCAUUCAUGUUAGUUUCCUCCACCCCUCUCCAUUUCCACUGGGUCUUCCAGGACACAGCAGAGACUGAAGAAAGGCAAGGGAAAGGAAGGCCUUGUUUGACUGACACAAACAGAAGUUGGUGGAGCUUCCCUCUUGGUCUGGCUCAUGUUUUGGCAUUUGUUCUCUCAUUUGAGCAUCUGUGGCCUCCUUGGAUUCCCCCGAGCUGGGCCCUUCCAGUUGGAAUUCCUUCAUCUCAGGCAAUGCCUCGCCUCCAUCCAGCCACCUACAGUCCUCUCUGGAACUUCCAACCCCUUUCUGCCGAGGACACCUCACUGAUCGCAGGAAGUCCUUCAGGUCAGAAUUCCUUUGGAAACAGCCCAAACUCACAUUCCUUCCGUGGGUUUCACAGUUGAUCCCCGAGAAAAUUCACCUCUGGACUGGCAUAGGCCAGAAUGUGGCUAUUCCCUAAAUGCAGCCCUCUGCUCUACAGACACAGCUCACUUCAGUCAGCCUCUCAUUAGACUUUCUCCUCUAGGCAUGAAUCUAAUGCCUGUCUGGGUCCCACAGGCUUCAAAAGAUACCUGUCAAAGAUGCC
This 4364-nucleotide long non-coding RNA is filed under the name Sus scrofa (pig). RNAcentral's name for it is "lncRNA (ENSSSCG00045004007.1)". The record is from RNAcentral. Lineage: Eukaryota; Metazoa; Chordata; Mammalia; Artiodactyla; Suidae.